CACAUGCAAGUCGAGGGGCAGCGGGAUUGAAGCUUGCUUCAAUUGCCGGCGACCGGCGCACGGGUGAGUAACGCGUAUCCAACCUUCCGUACACUCAGGGAUAGCCUUUCGAAAGAAAGAUUAAUACCUGAUGGUAUGAUGAGAUUGCAUGAUAGCAUCAUUAAAGAUUCAUCGGUGUACGAUGGGGAUGCGUUCCAUUAGGUAGUAGGCGGGGUAACGGCCCACCUAGCCUACGAUGGAUAGGGGUUCUGAGAGGAAGGUCCCCCACAUUGGAACUGAGACACGGUCCAAACUCCUACGGGAGGCAGCAGUGAGGAAUAUUGGUCAAUGGACGAGAGUCUGAACCAGCCAAGUAGCGUGAAGGAUGAAGGUCCUACGGAUUGUAAACUUCUUUUAUAAGGGAAUAAAACCUCCCACGUGUGGGAGCUUGUAUGUACCUUAUGAAUAAGCAUCGGCUAACUCCGUGCCAGCAGCCGCGGUAAUACGGAGGAUGCGAGCGUUAUCCGGAUUUAUUGGGUUUAAAGGGAGCGCAGACGGGUCGUUAAGUCAGCUGUGAAAGUUUGGGGCUCAACCUUAAAAUUGCAGUUGAUACUGGCGUCCUUGAGUGCGGUUGAGGUGUGCGGAAUUCGUGGUGUAGCGGUGAAAUGCUUAGAUAUCACGAAGAACUCCGAUUGCGAAGGCAGCACACUAAGCCGUAACUGACGUUCAUGCUCGAAAGUGUGGGUAUCAAACAGGAUUAGAUACCCUGGUAGUCCACACGGUAAACGAUGGAUACUCGCUGUUGGCGAUAUACUGUCGGCGGCUUAGCGAAAGCGUUAAGUAUCCCACCUGGGGAGUACGCCGGCAACGGUGAAACUCAAAGGAAUUGACGGGGGCCCGCACAAGCGGAGGAACAUGUGGUUUAAUUCGAUGAUACGCGAGGAA
Molecule: ribosomal RNA, 924 nt
Filed under: uncultured bacterium
Lineage: Bacteria
Description: bacterial SSU rRNA
Rfam family: Bacterial small subunit ribosomal RNA
Source: RNAcentral